Molecule: ribosomal RNA, 253 nt
Filed under: uncultured bacterium
Lineage: Bacteria
Description: partial 16S ribosomal RNA
Rfam family: Bacterial small subunit ribosomal RNA
Source: RNAcentral
UACGUAGGAUGCAAGCGUUGUCCGGAAUUAUUGGGCGUAAAGAGCACGUAGGUGGCUUGCUAAGUUCGGUCUUAAAGACCGGGGCUCAACCCCGGGAAUGGACUGAAAACUGGCAGGCUAGAGGAUGUCAGAGGAUGGUGGAAUUCCCAGUGUAGCGGUGAAAUGCGUAGAUAUUGGGAGGAACACCUGUGGCGAAAGCGGCCAUCUGGGGCAUUCCUGACACUGAGGUUCGAAAGCUCGGGGAGCAAACAGG